UGAGCAAUCUGCCCCUCNCAUCGGAAUAAGCGUUGGAAACGACGUCUAAUGCCGAAUACGACCUCCUUUCGCAUGAUCGGAGGUGGAAAGCUCCGGCGGAGAAGGAUGAGCUCGCGGCCUAUCAGCUAGUUGGUGUGGGUAAUGGCCCACCAAGGCGACGACGGGUAGCCGGCCUGAGAGGGUGACCGGCCACACUGGGACUGAGACAUGGCCCAGACUCCUAGGAGG
Molecule: ribosomal RNA, 228 nt
Filed under: uncultured bacterium
Lineage: Bacteria
Description: partial 16S ribosomal RNA
Rfam family: Bacterial small subunit ribosomal RNA
Source: RNAcentral